RNAcentral lists this ribosomal RNA (465 nucleotides) under Streptococcus mitis. RNAcentral describes it as "bacterial SSU rRNA". It matches the Rfam family "Bacterial small subunit ribosomal RNA", at positions 28 to 477 of the family's 1533-position model. The record is from RNAcentral. Lineage: Bacteria; Bacillati; Bacillota; Bacilli; Lactobacillales; Streptococcaceae.
GACGAACGCGGCGGCGUGCCUAAUACAUGCAAGUAGAACGCUGAAGGAGGAGCUUGCUUCUCUGGAUGAGUUGCGAACGGGUGAGUAACGCGUAGGUAACCUGCCUGGUAGCGGGGGAUAACUAUUGGAAACGAUAGCUAAUACCGCAUAAUAGUAGAUGUUGCAUGACAUUUACUUAAAAGGUGCAAUUGCAUCACUACCAGAUGGACCUGCGUUGUAUUAGCUAGUUGGUGGGGUAACGGCUCACCAAGGCGACGAUACAUUGCCGACCUGAGAGGGUGAUCGGCCACACUGGGACUGAGACACGGCCCAGACUCCUACGGGAGGCAGCAGUAGGGAAUCUUCGGCAAUGGACGGAAGUCUGACCGAGCAACGCCGCGUGAGUGAAGAAGGUUUUCGGAUCGUAAAGCUCUGUUGUAAGAGAAGAACGAGUGUGAGAGUGGAAAAGUUCACACUGUGACCGGU